GUAGGGUGCGAGCGUUAAUCGGAAUUACUGGGCGUAAAGCGUGCGCAGGCGGUUUUGUAAGCCAGAUGUGAAAUCCCCGGGCUUAACCUGGGAAUGGCAUUUGGGACUGCAAGGCUGGAGUUUGGCAGAGGAGACUGGAAUUCCUGGUGUAGCAGUGAAAUGCGUAGAUAUCAGGAGGAAUACCGAUGGCGAAGGCAGGUCUCUGGGCUAUAACUGACGCUCAUGCACGAAAGCGUGGGGAGCAAACAGGAUUAGAUACCCUGGUAGUCCACGCCCUAAACGAUGUCGACUGGUUGUUGGGGGUUUGACACUCUCAGUAACGAAGCUAACGCGCGAAGUCGACCGCCUGGGGAGUACGGCCGCAAGGUUA
RNAcentral lists this ribosomal RNA (370 nucleotides) under uncultured bacterium. RNAcentral describes it as "bacterial SSU rRNA". It matches the Rfam family "Bacterial small subunit ribosomal RNA", at positions 527 to 896 of the family's 1533-position model. The record is from RNAcentral.